GGACUACAGGGGUUUCUAAUCCGUUUUGCUCCCCACGCUUUCGUGCCUCAAUGUCAGAAGCAGAAUAGUUAACUGCCUUCGCCUUUGGUGUUCAUCUGUAUAUCUUCUCAUUUUACCGAUACACACAGAGUUCCGUUAACCUCUCCUGUUCUCUAGCAAAAUAGUAUUAAUAAUUUCCGCGAAGUUGAGCUUCGAUUUACCACUAUUAACUUAAUUUGCCAUCUACGCACCCUUUACGCCCAAUAAAUCCGGAUAACGUUUGCAACCUAUGUCUUACCGCGGCUGCUGGCAC
RNAcentral lists this ribosomal RNA (292 nucleotides) under uncultured bacterium. Its description in RNAcentral is "partial 16S ribosomal RNA". The record is from RNAcentral.